GUAGGUGAACCUGCGGAAGGAUCAUUAAAAGUGUGCGCUCCGGUUGCUUCUCGCUUCCGGUUGCGCCUUACACACUAUUCUCUCAAACCGUGGUUCGUCAAAACAACCUUGUUGGGCGUCGUCUUUCGCGUGCGAGUGUUGUCUCUUUCCGUCUCUCUCUCUUUCCGUUCGCGGACAGAAGGAAGGAAUAAGAUCGUCGCCGCCGCGAAAGCAUGGCAAGCCGUUCGGAGUACGGGGAUGGCCUUGCUGG
RNAcentral lists this unclassified non-coding RNA (250 nucleotides) under plant metagenome. RNAcentral describes it as "partial contains small subunit ribosomal RNA, internal transcribed spacer 1, and 5.8S ribosomal RNA". The record is from RNAcentral.